AAAUGAAUUGACGGGGGCCCGCACAAGCGGAGGAACAUGUGGUUUAAUUCGAUGAUACGCGAGGAACCUUACCCGGGCUUGAAUUGCACCUGACGUAUUUGGAAACAGAUAUUUCUUCGGACAGGUGUGAAGGUGCUGCAUGGUUGUCGUCAGCUCGUGCCGUGAGGUGUCGGCUUAAGUGCCAUAACGAGCGCAACCCUUAUCUUUAGUUGCCAUCGGGUCAUGCCGGGGACUCUAGAGAGACUGCCGUCGUAAGAUGUGAGGAAGGCGGGGAUGACGUCAAAUCAGCACGGCCCUUACGUCCGGGGCUACACACGUGUUACAAUGGGGGGUACAGCAGGCAGCCACCUGGCGACAGGGCGCUAAUCCCAAAAACCUCUCUCAGUUCGGACUGGAGUCUGCAACCCGACUCCACGAAGCUGGAUUCGCUAGUAAUCGCGCAUCAGCCACGGCGCGGUGAAUACGUUCCCGGGCCUUGUACACACCGCCCGU
Molecule: ribosomal RNA, 492 nt
Filed under: uncultured bacterium
Lineage: Bacteria
Description: bacterial SSU rRNA
Rfam family: Bacterial small subunit ribosomal RNA
Source: RNAcentral